GAUGAACGCUGGCGGCGUGCCUAAUACAUGCAAGUCGAGCGAACGGACGAUAAGGUUGCUUCUCUGAUGUUAGCGGCGGACGUGUGAGUAACACGUUGAUAACCUACCUAUAAGACUGGUAUAACUGCGUGAAACCGGAGCUAAAUCCGUAUUAUAUUUUGAUCUUAAUUGUUCAAAAGUGAAAGACGGUAUUGCUGUAAUGUAUCACUGGAUCCGCGCUGCAUUAGCUAGUUGGUAAGGUAACGGCUUACCAAGGCAACGAUACAUAGCCGACCUGAGAGGGUGAUCGGCCACACUGGAACUGAGACACGGUCCAGACUCCUACGGGAGGCAGCAGUAGGGAAUCUUCCGCAAUGGGCGAAAGCCUGACGGAGCAACGCCGCGUGAGUGAUGAAGGUCUUCGGAUCGUAAAACUUUGUUAUUAGGGAAGAACAUAUGUGUAAGUAACUGUGCACAUCUUGACGGUACCUAAUCAGAAAGCCACGGCUAACUACGUG
RNAcentral lists this ribosomal RNA (497 nucleotides) under uncultured bacterium. RNAcentral describes it as "partial 16S ribosomal RNA". It matches the Rfam family "Bacterial small subunit ribosomal RNA", at positions 28 to 507 of the family's 1533-position model. The record is from RNAcentral.